UACGGAGGGUGCAAGCGUUGUUCGGAAUUACUGGGCGUAAAGCGCGUGUAGGCGGUUUGGUAAGUCAGAUGUGAAAGCCCUGAGCUCAACUCAGGAAGUGCAUUUGAAACUGCCUUACUCGAGUAUGGGAGAGGAGAGUGGAAUUCCCAGUGUAGAGGUGAAAUUCGUAGAUAUUGGGAGGAACACCCGUGGCGAAGGCGACUCUCUGGACCAAAACUGACGCUGAGACGCGAAAGCGUGGGGAGCAAACAGG
This 253-nucleotide ribosomal RNA is filed under the name uncultured bacterium. RNAcentral describes it as "partial 16S ribosomal RNA". It matches the Rfam family "Bacterial small subunit ribosomal RNA", at positions 524 to 776 of the family's 1533-position model. The record is from RNAcentral.